RNAcentral lists this long non-coding RNA (297 nucleotides) under Oryza brachyantha (malo sina). Its description in RNAcentral is "long non-coding RNA (OBRA_LNC002109)". The record is from RNAcentral. Lineage: Eukaryota; Viridiplantae; Streptophyta; Magnoliopsida; Poales; Poaceae.
AGCUGGGUUGAAUCCAAGAGCUGGGCUAGCCACCUUCUGUGCCGUGCUCCUCUCGCUCAUCGCGUUCGCAUGAGAUCGUCCGUCCCCUUGAAGCGACGCUCCUAUUCGCCGAUAGAAAGAAACCGGUUUCUGUGACCUUGUUGCAGGAGUAAUGUGGUCUGUGAAGAAGAAGAAAAAAGGAUUGAACAGAGACCUGACCUGAUCCUUCUGAAGAUGUCAUCCCGUCCGAAAACCCACUAUUGCCUGCUGCUUGUUUGGUGCCAAUGGGUGUUUUGUGUGGGGUGCUCCUUUUUCAUG